This 499-nucleotide ribosomal RNA is filed under the name uncultured bacterium. Its description in RNAcentral is "partial 16S ribosomal RNA". It matches the Rfam family "Bacterial small subunit ribosomal RNA", at positions 28 to 507 of the family's 1533-position model. The record is from RNAcentral.
GACGAACGCUGGCGGCGUGCCUAAUACAUGCAAGUCGAGCGAAGUUUUUCUGGUGCUUGCACCGGAAAAACUUAGCGGCGAACGGGUGAGUAACACGUAAAGAACCUGCCUCAUAGACUGGGACAACUAUUGGAAACGAUAGCUAAUACCGGAUAGCAGCAUUAACUGCAUGGUUGAUGUUUAAAAGUUGGUUUUGCUAACACUAUGAGAUGGCUUUGCGGUGCAUUAGCUAGUUGGUGGGGUAAAGGCCUACCAAGGCGACGAUGCAUAGCCGACCUGAGAGGGUGAUCGGCCACACUGGGACUGAGACACGGCCCAGACUCCUACGGGAGGCAGCAGUAGGGAAUCUUCCGCAAUGGGCGAAAGCCUGACGGAGCAACGCCGCGUGAGUGAAGAAGGAUUUCGGUUCGUAAAGCUCUGUUGUUAGGGAAGAAUGAUUGUGUAGUAACUAUACACAGUAGAGACGGUACCUAACCAGAAAGCCACGGCUAACUACGUG